GAUGAACGCUGGCUACAGGCUUAACACAUGCAAGUCGAGGGGAAACGACGGGGAAUCUUGCUUCCCCGGGCUUCGACCGGCGCACGGGUGAGUAACGCGUAUCCAACCUGCCUCUGACUUAUGGAUAACCCGUCGAAAUUCUGCCUAAUACCUCAUGGCAUCGUCUUCGGGCAUCCAACGACGAUUAAAGAUUUCAUCGUUCUGGGAUGGGGAUCCGUCUGAUUAGCUUGUUGGCGGGGUAACGGCCCACCAAGGCUACGAUCAGUAGGGGUUAUGAGAGGAAGGAAAACCAGAAUGGAACUGAGAAAAGGACCAAAAGACGACGGGAGGGAGCAGAGAGGAAUAUAGGGAAAGGGGAGGGAGCAUGAAACAGCCAAGUAGGGGGAAGGAAGACGGGGAUAUGGGUUGUAAACUGCUUGUAAGAGGGGAAAAAGUGAGGGACGGGUCAUUCAUUGAAGGUACCGAAUGAAUAAGGAACGGCUAAUUCCGUG
RNAcentral lists this ribosomal RNA (491 nucleotides) under uncultured bacterium. Its description in RNAcentral is "partial 16S ribosomal RNA". It matches the Rfam family "Bacterial small subunit ribosomal RNA", at positions 28 to 507 of the family's 1533-position model. The record is from RNAcentral.